CCUACGGGAGGCAGCAGUAGGGAAUCUUCGACAAUGGGCGCAAGCCUGAUCGAGCAACGCCGCGUGGGUGAAGAAGGCCUUCGGAUUGUAAAACUCUGUUGUUAGGGAAGAAAGAGCGUGCGAGUAACUGUUCACGUGUCGCUGCUAUCUAACCAGAAACCCACGGCUAACUACGUGCCAGCAGCCGUGGUACUACGUAGGUGGCCAGCGUUAUCCGGAUUUAUUGGGCGUAAAGGGAGCGCAGGCGGUCUUUUAAGUCUGUUGUGAAAGCCUGCGGCUUAACCGGAGUAGUGCAUUGGAAACUGGGGGACUUGAGUGCAGAAGAGGAGGGUGGAAUUCCAGGUGUAGCGGUGAAAUGCGUAGAUAUAAGGAAGAACACCAGUGGCGAAGGCGGCACUCUGGCCUGUAACUGACGCUGAGGUUCGAAAGCGUGGGUAGCAAACAGGAUUAGAUACCCUUGUAGUC
RNAcentral lists this ribosomal RNA (465 nucleotides) under uncultured bacterium. Its description in RNAcentral is "partial 16S ribosomal RNA". It matches the Rfam family "Bacterial small subunit ribosomal RNA", at positions 338 to 795 of the family's 1533-position model. The record is from RNAcentral.